This 253-nucleotide ribosomal RNA is filed under the name uncultured bacterium. Its description in RNAcentral is "partial 16S ribosomal RNA". It matches the Rfam family "Bacterial small subunit ribosomal RNA", at positions 524 to 776 of the family's 1533-position model. The record is from RNAcentral.
UACGUAGGGUGCAAGCGUUGUCCGGAUUUACUGGGCGUAAAGAGCGCGCAGGCGGUCGGAUAAGUCGAAUGUGAAAGCCCCCGGCUCAACUGGGGAGGGUCAUUCGAUACUGUUCGACUCGAAGGCAGGAGAGGGAAGUGGAAUUCCCGGUGUAGUGGUGAAAUGCGUAGAUAUCGGGAGGAACACCAGUGGCGAAGGCGACUUCCUGGCCUGUUCUUGACGCUGAGGCGCGAAAGCUAGGGGAGCAAACGGG